Molecule: long non-coding RNA, 199 nt
Filed under: Panax ginseng (ginseng)
Lineage: Eukaryota; Viridiplantae; Streptophyta; Magnoliopsida; Apiales; Araliaceae
Description: long non-coding RNA (PGIN_LNC015946)
Source: RNAcentral
AGCAUGCAAGAAAACUAAAAAAAAAAUGUUUUCACAAUUCGUCUCAAAAUCAAUACUUAUACAAUUUAAAAUGACGAUUGGGUGUACACUUGAUAUUUACUAGUAAAAAUUUAAUAAUGAUGCUAGCUGUGAAACUUACUAGAUAAAAUAAUAGAAAUAAAUAACUAAAAAUAUCAUACCAAUUUAUAUAUACUACAUA